AGUUGGCUCUGGCUGGCUUCAGGAGCUGCUCGCUGCUGUGGUGCAAGAAACAUGGCGGGUGCCACAGCAGCGAGCAGCUCCUGAAGCCAGCCAGAGCCAACU
Molecule: non-coding RNA, 102 nt
Organism: Podarcis lilfordi (Lilford's wall lizard)
Lineage: Eukaryota; Metazoa; Chordata; Lepidosauria; Squamata; Lacertidae
Source: the annotation of a GenBank genome assembly